GUGUCGCUGCUGCUUUCUCGUCCCUUUCCUUUCGUGAUUGGUGGCCGCUGCUCUGGUUGCUGUAGCGCUCUUCCCUGACGGCCCCCACCCCCUUUCUUCCUUCCCCAUCGCCCUCGCGCUUGUCGUCUUGCCUUCUUGCCGCCUCUCUCGUCCCCGUCUUCCUCCGUACCUGCACCUCUGAUUGUCUCCGUGAUUGCCCCACAGCGCAUCGCACUCAUGAGCGCUUGCGUGACCGGGACGGCGCCCGCUGCUCAGCUAGGUGUGGGGGAUCUCUGGGCGUCGGAGGUGCUCGAGGGAUGUGCGCGUGCUCACUACACCCCCCGGCAGGAGCUGCUGGGGAUUCUGGCUCCACCGCCACGCUCUACGGCCGCCGGUGCCACUCCCAUCGCGUCGGUUGUCAAGGCAUCGGGAGCAACAGUGGAGGGUGGUCGUACGCUGAUCGAUGUGGAUGCGGUGGAGAGUAUGGAUGGAUACUCCCAUGCUGCCUCUCCGAACUCCAUCGGGGAGGCAGUGGCUAAUCAGCCGUCUCUGAAACCCAUGGAGCGCAGCGCGCUCUCCGAAGAGAUGCAGGCACUGCGCGCGGUCCUGUCACCUGCACUGAUACGCAAGGCGUACCGCUUGAACACGCCAUGCAUGACGAAGCACACAACCAAGAACGAGCGUCUGCUGAACUGCACGGCGUCGCCGCGGUGCAUGGCUGGGCUCCAGCUGCUCGGCAGCGACGCUGCCACGCGCGAGGACUGCUUGAAGGCGUUAAUGGGGAACGGCCCGUACGUGGUGCCGCUUCCCGCGGUGAAGGGCAGCGGCGUAACGGCGGCGAAUGCCGACGCCGCGUCGUCAUCCUCCGCCUCGACAGGGCGCGAACGGGGCGGAGCGCGAGCCACGAAGAGCACUCGCGAAGACUUAGCAGAGACAGCAGGAAGCGCGACUGCUGCCGGCGACGCCACCGAGAUCACCGUCAUGAGUGACCCGGCUUUCCCUUGCCUGUGGCGUGGAGUGCGCAACUUGAUGAACACGUGCUACUUCAGCGCCGUGUUACAGCUCAUCUUCAGCAUUGCCCGGGUGCGCCACGCAAUCCUUAACGACGACGCCGCAGCGCACGACCAUUACUGCGUGGAGAUCAGAGAGGCGCAGGGAGGCACCGGUGUUAACCAGCUGGCCGAGUCGGGGCUCAAGGAGCUCUUUGCAUUAAUGGCCUUCAGCCGCGAAGGGGCCGGCGCGGACCCGAAGUCGUUCGCCACGUACCUUUCCCUUGACGUGAAGGUGCAGCAGGACGCGCAGGAGUUUUUCACCUUGCUGCUGGACUGGCUGCGGUGCCAUUGCGGCCCAACGGUGAAGGCUGCCGUCACCAGCACCUUCUCCGGAACGCUGCUGUACGACCGGCAGUGUGGAUCUUGCGGCCGGUCCUCCAAGCGAGCGGAGCCGUUCCUGUAUCUCUCGCUGCCUGUUUGCCCCACCCUGGAGGACUCCCUGUCGGAGUUCUCGAAGCCGGAGGCGGUGGACGGCUUCAUGUGCGAGCAGUGCGGCCACACGGCGGUGGCUACGUCGCUACAGUAUAUGCGGACGCUGCCUGACGUGCUCGUGAUCCACUGGAACCGCUUCGAGUUUGACCUGCAGUCCCUGCAGCGACACAAGGUGACCACCACCACCUCCUUUCCUCUUCAGCUGGACAUGGCGACGUACAUGCGCCAGUGGCACGAGCAGAAGCGGAACAUCACGUCUAGAGCCGCCGGUGGUGAGAGCGUGGCGCCAGAGGAGAGCGAGGACCACCACUUAUACGAGCUGCGCGGUGUUGUGAACCACCUCGGCGACACUGCCGUAUCAGGCCACUACACCUACCACGGCAAGGUCUCCGGCGCCUCGGCGGAGCCGGGCAGCAGCGGUGGUAGCAGAGGCAGCUCGUGGCUGAACUUUAACGACGCAGAGGUGUCGAAGCUGAACCGCUACCAAGGGCAGCGCGGCGCGUCGCCAGACGCUUACCUGCUCGUGUACCACCGCAUCGCCACAUCGUGUUCAUCUCCACGCUCUACGUCGGUGUCGGCGCCGCCCAGCACGGGCAAGCCACCGCAGCUGCAGCCCGUCGCUGCCGUUCCGUCCACCAGCGCCACCCCCACCCCUGCGGAGUACCCUGUGUACUUGCGCCAGUACGUUGAUCGCGUGAAUGAUGACUGCCUCACCAAGCGCCACGACUGGAUGGAGCAGCGCGCGCAGGCAGCGGCGCUCUUCGACUUGUGGGCCACCGCCGCGAAGGCUGUGUUUGAGAGUGCCACGAACGCCUCGAGUGCCCCGGCAUGGAUAUCGACCACGACGACGGCCACACCGUCGCUUUACGUGCUCCCCACCCGCUGGCUGCAGCAUUUCGGCCGCUUCUUCUUGCCUGCCUACGUGGACGCGGCGGCGCUCGGCAGCGGUGCCGAGUCGAAGCUGAAGCGCAGCAAGAGGGACUUGGACGCCGUCUCAGGCCCUGCGGGCGACAGUGCCAACUCUGCGCUUGCGAGCGGUGCUGCUGGUGUUGACGGGAAGCCCAUUGUUGUCGGGCCCGAGGAGGGCGCCUCGGGCAGUGGCGCUAGCGCCGCGGUUGAGGGGACCGUGGUGACUGCCACGGUCGGCCCCCUCCGCCACGGCCACAUGCAGACUGCUGAAGAGGUUCGUCAGCAGGUGCGCCAGUAUUCGCUGAUGCAAGCGCUGCCCUCGGUAACCUGUGCGCACGGCUGUGUGCUGCCGUGGGCAUCUUACAAGGUGGUAUCGGCAUCCGCGUACGAAAAGCUGAGCCGUUUUCUCGCUGUCUGCGGCUCGCCCUUGACAGUGGCGGCGAACGGCGACAGACCUGCAUCGCCCUCCACACCGGAGGCGCCGAUGACGGCCCGCUUGCGUGAGUCGAUGGCUGGCGGCGGCGCCGCCUGCGGCACUCAGUCGUGUUGCACCCUCAUGGAAGCCAACCUGUGCCCGCUCUGUGUCGCGGCCAUGGCCGCCGGCGUGCAGGCGCUCGCGUCGCGCACGACGGAGGACGAGGAGGCGGAGAUCAUCCUCACCCGCGCCUGGGAAGAGGCGGAGCGGCGGAAGAGGCACGCUGCAGGCGAGGAAGGAGACGAGGGCGACAGCGGUGCUGGGCCCGGAGCCGCCACGCCAACUGCACUUACACAGAGCACGCAGCAGCAGGAGGCUGAGGAGAAGAGGGAGGAUGGGCAGCAGCAGCGCGUGCUCGUCAGCAAGACCGUCGUUGAGGCGUGGGCUUCGUUCUACACGAGCCAGCUUGGCUGGGGACGCGUGCGGCAGGCCGAAGGCUACACGGGUGUGCUGGUUAUGCGUGAGGCACGUGUGGCGCCGCCGCCGUUGCCGGCGACGCCGGCGUCGACGUCGUCCAUGGUAGCAGCGGUGACCGCCCCCGCCUCUUCCGCCUCUUCUUCGGCGUCUCCUGCGGUGCCCGAGACUGUCUCGACGUCUCUAGCGAAAGCUGACCACCCGUUCAGCCUGGCCGCCCUUGACGUGGACCGCGGCGACUUGAACCUGUCGGCGCAGCUGCUAUGCCCGCACGGUGCCCUGCGCCCUGGCCAGAGCGCCGUGGCUAUCCCAGACUCCUUGCGACGCUACUGGGUGCACCGCUUUGUGGAGGUGCUCACGAUGGCGCAUCGCUCUGGUGUCCUGCGCACGUCGAACCCGCACUGGAGCGUGAACGAGGAUGACGUGGAACACUUCUUUCUUCCGCUCAUCCCUGCCUCGGAAACGAGCACGACGUGUCAGGAAUGCAUGCAGUCAAGCGUGCAGCACCUGACCUCGCGCCACCAGCAGCGCAUGAAGAGGAUGGAGGAGCGCAAGCGCUACCCGUCGCUGUGGCUUGCCGGAGCCAUGACCUGUCCCUCUGGGGUCGCGCAGCUGCUGCUCGCUACCGGGGCGGAGAACGAGGAGCAGCUGCUCGCUGCCCAGCACCCGAAUCGGCUCUUCUUCAAGCAACACGGCGAGCGCGAGUACCGUGAGUACGUGAAGAAGUGGGCAGAGGCGCACCAGCAGCGAGUAGCCCACCAGUCAAGCGAGGUGCAGCGACUGCGCACAGCACUGAUGAAGAAGCGGCAGCACGACGCCGCCUGGAAUGCGCGCGUGACGAUGCGGCGCAGUGGGGGCGGCCGUAGUGGUGGCCGGGGUGCAAGCGCAACGAACGUCCCUUCCUCGCCUGUGGCUCCGGCGCCGUCAGAAACGGCAACUGCAGCAGCGGCACCGCCAGAGCCGCAGACGCUUGAGGGACGCUUGUAUUACGCUGAGGAGGCGCUGGAGAAAAUGACGGCGCAGACGGUGCCAGACUGCACCGUCACGUAUGGCUGUGUGCCGACGUGGUGGGUGGCGCGGUGGUACGCGGCGAUGCAGAGCGAGGACAACAAGUCUGACACCAGCAAAGGCGGCGAUGAUGCGGACGGCGAGCCUUUACUGGUACUGCCGCGAAUCUCCUUCGAAAAGUUCAAGUGCGCGCACUCUGAGAGCCUGCUGGAGGUGUCGUGGCUGAACCCUUCCGAUGGCUUCUGGCAAGGGGCGCGGGCGAAGCGGGCCGAGUUGCUCUGGAACGGUGUGCGGGUGGAGCGGGCCGGUGCGCCGACUCCGACGUCACCGCCGACGGGCCCCACUGAGGCGGAGUACCGCAGUCAGUGCUGGCUACCGCCCAUGGUGAUAUUGCCGAUGGAUGAGUAUGUUGCGUUGUUGGCGCAGUACGGUGAGCCGGGCAUGCUGGAGCGUGUGGCGUCGCGGGCUGGCGGCGUCGCGGGCACGUCCACUGCUGGGGCGGCAGUGGGGGGUGCUGAGCCUCGUGCGGAGGUGACGGACGUGGACGCGGAGGCAGCGGAGGAUGGGGCCUCGGCAGAGGCAGCGAAGACGCCGACGGAUCUCUCUGCAGCCGCGGCAGGUGACUGCACGGUCGCGUCCCUGUCGACGCCGUCGCCACCCGCGGCGACGCCGGUGCCGAAGUCUCGUGCGCAGACUGUUCCCGUGGCGGCCGCCGUCAUUCAGGUGCGCUUUCACAAUGGUGCGCGCCAACUGUGGCCCUCUACCUGUGCGCAGUGCUGCGCGGCAAUGCUCGCCAAAUUUGACGCCCAGUGCGAGUCCUUCGUGAAUGGCUCGUUGAGGCUGAACAUACAUGUGAAGAAAAGCCGCAAGAACUACUACGACGCGGUGAGCGUGCUGACCUCGGCCGCGGUGCAGCACACUGGCAGCAGCGCUGCGAAGAGUGUGGAAGGUGGCAGCAACACCACCGCCACUGACGCCGACGUGAUCCCUGCGGGGAUUCACUAUUACACUACACUCAGACAGCUUAAGAUCUAUAUAAGUGCUCACCUGCGCGAGAAGCACGGAUACCUGGUGCCCGCCGAGGUGCUGCAGAUUGGGCGAGGAAAGAACAAGCCCUUGAAGCGGUGCUCGACGCCACCACACGCUGUGGAGGCGUCGGGCCAUCACACUCGCGGCACCGCUCCAACCUCCGCCACUGCGGCGGAGGUUGCGCAGCUCGACGAAGCCACGCUUCAGGAGCUGGGCAUCCGCGACGGCGAGACGCUCUCGGUGCAGUCGGUCGACAUCAUCGCGCAGACGUGCGCUACAACGGCGGCGAUCGACGAGGAGUGGGAGGCGAUUCCACCAGAGCUGCUGCAAGCCGGCGCUUGCGGUGACGCAUCUGCUGCGUCCGUCGUCCGCGAGCACACGGUGGCUUUCCGUGAGACGCGACUCCAGGGCAGCCACGGCGGGUCCAUAAUGGCAGCAUCCCCCGCUGUCACCGCGGCUGCUGCCGGUGUCGUUGCUGCGGGACCUACCGUCGGCGCCGCAAUCGCCAUGGAGGAGCAGGGCUUGCCAUGUCCUGUGUGCACCUUUCUUAAUGCACCUGAUAUGGUGGUGUGUGAGAUGUGCGAGGCCCCGCUACCGAGUACGUAGAGGCCCCGAGGUGCACAGAGCAACAGCAGCCGAGGGAGCCUGGGGCCUGCAGGAAGCGUCGUGAGGGAGCGGCACGGUGCGUGCGUCUGCUGUGAGGUGGAUUCCACGCCUGCGGCUACCGCAGCAGUAACGGGGCCGAAAUCCUCAGAGCAGCAACGAGAAAGUGAUUGCGCGAUGCAGAGCAACGUGCGCAAACAGACCGAGAGAUCAUACCAACUUCGUGGUGGGCACGAGCCACGCAGUUUCUCGCGCCCCUCUCCAUCUCCCAUUUUCGCUCUCGUCCUUCACUCAUUCACCUACGUGGGCAGAGAUGGCGUGAGCGUGCGUAGGCGUGCGCCACUUCAGCUGAGCAUGUGACCUCGGCGGCUGUGUUGGUGGAAACCCGCCACGCCUCAGUGGGAGGCACUCGUCUUUGAUGGCCACCACCAACACCAGUGAAGGCGACGUAGGUGAGGCGAAAACACACGUAUCUUGCGUACACUCGCUUCAUCAACUCCCCCCUCUUGACUUGGGCCCUUUUGCUUUGCGUGAUGUGUACUGCUUGUGUUGUCUUGGGCUGUUGCGCUGCGCGCAUGCCUGCUCAG
RNAcentral lists this unclassified non-coding RNA (6488 nucleotides) under Leishmania donovani. RNAcentral describes it as "gene:LdHU3.16.0870(CDS-product:ubiquitin_hydrolas e_putative)". Lineage: Eukaryota; Euglenozoa; Kinetoplastea; Trypanosomatida; Trypanosomatidae. The record is from RNAcentral.